RNAcentral lists this ribosomal RNA (497 nucleotides) under uncultured bacterium. RNAcentral's name for it is "partial 16S ribosomal RNA". It matches the Rfam family "Bacterial small subunit ribosomal RNA", at positions 28 to 507 of the family's 1533-position model. The record is from RNAcentral.
GAUGAACGCUGGCGGCGUGCCUAAUACAUGCAAGUCGAGCGAACGGACGAGAAGCUUGCUUCUCUGAUGUUAGCGGCGGACGGGUGAGUAACACGUGGAUAACCUACCUAUAAGACUGGGAUAACUUCGGGAAACCGGAGCUAAUACCGGAUAAUAUUUUGAACCGCAUGGUUCAAAAGUAAAAGACGGUCUUGCUGUCACUUAUAGAUGGAUCCGCGCUGCAUUAGCUAGUUGGUAAGGUAACGGCUUACCAAGGCAACGAUGCAUAGCCGACCUGAGAGGGUGAUCGGCCACACUGGAACUGAGACACGGUCCAGACUCCUACGGGAGGCAGCAGUAGGGAAUCUUCCGCAAUGGGCGAAAGCCUGACGGGGCAACGCCGCGUGAGUGAUGAAGGUCUUCGGAUCGUAAAACUCUGUUAUUAGGGAAGAACAUAUGUGUAAGUAACUGUGCUCAUCUUGACGGUACCUAAUCAGAAAGCCACGGCUAACUACGUG